GAUGAACGCUGGCGGCGUGCCUAAUACAUGCAAGUCGAGCGAACGGACGAGAAGCUUGCUUCUCUGAUGUUAGCGGCGGACGGGUGAGUAACACGUGGAUAACCUACCUAUAAGACUGGGAUAACUUCGGGAAACCGGAGCUAAUACCGGAUAAUAUUUUGAACCGCAUGGUUCAAAAGUGAAAGACGGUCUUGCUGUCACUUAUAGAUGGAUCCGCGCUGCAUUAGCUAGUUGGUAAGGUAACGGCUUACCAAGGCAACGAUGCAUAGCCGACCUGAGAGGGUGAUCGGCCACACUGGAACUGAGACACGGUCCAGACUCCUACGGGAGGCAGCAGUAGGGAAUCUUCCGCAAUGGGCGAAAGCCUGACUGAGCAACGCCGCGUGAGUGAUGAAGGUCUUCGGAUCGUAAAACUCUGUUAUUAGGGAAGAACAUAUGUGUAAGUAACUGUGCACAUCUUGACGGUACCUAAUCAGAAAGCCACGGCUAACUACGUGC
This 498-nucleotide ribosomal RNA is filed under the name uncultured bacterium. Its description in RNAcentral is "partial 16S ribosomal RNA". It matches the Rfam family "Bacterial small subunit ribosomal RNA", at positions 28 to 508 of the family's 1533-position model. The record is from RNAcentral.